GAUGAACGCUGGCGGCGUGCCUAAUACAUGCAAGUCGAGCGAACAGACGAGGAGCUUGCUCCUCUGACGUUAGCGGCGGACGGGUGAGUAACACGUGGAUAACCUACCUAUAAGACUGGGAUAACUUCGGGAAACCGGAGCUAAUACCGGAUAAUAUAUUGAACCGCAUGGUUCAAUAGUGAAAGACGGUUUUGCUGUCACUUAUAGAUGGAUCCGCGCCGCAUUAGCUAGUUGGUAAGGUAACGGCUUACCAAGGCAACGAUGCGUAGCCGAACUGAGAGGGUGAUCGGCCACACUGGAACUGAGACACGGUCCAGACUCCUACGGGAGGCAGCAGUAGGGAAUCGUCCGCAAUGGGCGAAAGCCUGACGGAGCAACGCCGCGUGAGUGAUGAAGGUCUUCGGAUCGUAAAACUCUGUUAUUAGGGAAGAACAAAUGUGUAAGUAACUAUGCACGUCUUGACGGUACCUAAUCAGAAAGCAACGGCUAACUACGUG
This 497-nucleotide ribosomal RNA is filed under the name uncultured bacterium. RNAcentral's name for it is "partial 16S ribosomal RNA". It matches the Rfam family "Bacterial small subunit ribosomal RNA", at positions 28 to 507 of the family's 1533-position model. The record is from RNAcentral.